CUUGUCCUACGGGAGGCAGCAGUGGGGGAUAUUGCACAAUGGGGGCAACCCUGAUGCAGCGACGCCGCGUGAGCGAUGGAGUACUUCGGUAUGUAAAGCUCUGUCAGCAGGGAAGAGAAUGACGGUACCUGACCAAGAAGCCCCGGCUAAAUACGUGCCAGCAGCCGCGGUAAUACGUAUGGGGCAAGCGUUAUCCGGAUUUACUGGGUGUAAAGGGAGCGUAGGCGGCAGGGCAAGCCUGAUGUGAAAGCCCGGGGCUCAACCCCGGGCCUGCAUUGAGAACUGCCCUGCUCGAGUGUCGGAGG
This 305-nucleotide ribosomal RNA is filed under the name uncultured bacterium. RNAcentral describes it as "bacterial SSU rRNA". It matches the Rfam family "Bacterial small subunit ribosomal RNA", at positions 333 to 655 of the family's 1533-position model. The record is from RNAcentral.